This 115-nucleotide ribosomal RNA is filed under the name Aquabacter sp. L1I39. The record is from RNAcentral. RNAcentral also lists the same sequence under 2 other names. Lineage: Bacteria; Pseudomonadati; Pseudomonadota; Alphaproteobacteria; Hyphomicrobiales; Xanthobacteraceae.
CCUGGUGGCCAUUGCGAGGAGCCUGUACCCGAUCCCAUCCCGAACUCGGCCGUAAAACUCCUCAGCGCCAAUGGUACUUCGUCUCAAGACGCGGGAGAGUAGGUCGCUGCCAGGC